This 443-nucleotide ribosomal RNA is filed under the name uncultured Alphaproteobacteria bacterium. RNAcentral describes it as "bacterial SSU rRNA". It matches the Rfam family "Bacterial small subunit ribosomal RNA", at positions 29 to 505 of the family's 1533-position model. Lineage: Bacteria; Pseudomonadati; Pseudomonadota; Alphaproteobacteria. The record is from RNAcentral.
AACGAACGCUGGCGGCAGGCCUAACACAUGCAAGUCGAACGAAGCUUUUCUCAUUGAGGAAAGACUGAGUGGCGGACGGGUGAGUAACACGUGGGAAUUUACCUUAUAGUGGGGGAUAACUUCUGGAAACGGGAGCUAAUACCGCAUACGCCCUUAGGGGGAAAGAUUUAUCGCUAUAAGAUGAGCCCGCGUUGGAUUAGGUAGUUGGUAGGGUAAAGGCCUACCAAGCCGAUGAUCCAUAGCUGGUUUGAGAGGAUGAUCAGCCACACUGGGACUGAGACACGGCCCAGACUCCUACGGGAGGCAGCAGUGGGGAAUCUUAGACAAUGGGGGCAACCCUGAUCUAGCCAUGCCGCGUGAGUGAAGAAGGCCUUAGGGUUGUAAAGCUCUUUCACCUGUGAGGAUGAUGACAGUAACAGGAUAAGAAGGACCGGCUAACUCCG